Molecule: ribosomal RNA, 301 nt
Filed under: uncultured bacterium
Lineage: Bacteria
Description: partial 16S ribosomal RNA
Rfam family: Bacterial small subunit ribosomal RNA
Source: RNAcentral
CAGUCGCCGCGGUAAUACGUAGGUGGCGAGCGUUGUCCGGAAUCAUUGGGCGUAAAGGGAGCGCAGGCGGGCGUGUAAGUCUUUCUUAAAAGUUCGGGGCUCAACCCCGUGAUGGGAAAGAAACUACAUGUCUUGAGUACAGGAGAGGAAAGCGUAAUUCCCAGUGUAGCGGUGAAAUGCGUAGAUAUUGGGAGGAACACCAGUGGCGAAGGCGGCUUUCUGGACUGCAACUGACGCUGAGGCUCGAAAGCCAGGGGAGCGAACGGGAUUAGAUACCCGUGUAGUCCCUGUCUCUUAUACA